UUUUGACUUUUCGUCUUGAUGAUCACUUUGGGCAAGGAUAGUAAUAAGUUGUGCGAUAGCACUAGGAGGCAACAAAAAUGGAACAAGGUACAGUGAAAUGGUUUAAUGCAGAAAAAGGUUUCGGCUUCAUCGAACGUGAAAAUGGAGACGACGUAUUCGUACACUUCUCUGCUAUCCAAAGUGAAGGCUUCAAGUCUUUAGAUGAAGGUCAAAAAGUAACGUUUGACGUUGAGCAAGGUGCUCGUGGAGCUCAAGCUGCUAACGUUCAAAAAGCAUAAUACAAACAGGCUCUUUAAAUAGAGCCUGUUUUUU
Molecule: small RNA, 312 nt
Filed under: Mesobacillus selenatarsenatis SF-1
Lineage: Bacteria; Bacillati; Bacillota; Bacilli; Caryophanales; Bacillaceae
Description: Bacillus selenatarsenatis SF-1 cspA thermoregulator
Rfam family: cspA thermoregulator
Source: Rfam by way of RNAcentral